Ilex paraguariensis (yerba mate) is the source of this 115-nucleotide non-coding RNA. Lineage: Eukaryota; Viridiplantae; Streptophyta; Magnoliopsida; Aquifoliales; Aquifoliaceae. The record is from the annotation of a GenBank genome assembly.
GCGAUCAUACCAACACCAGUGCACUGGAUCCCUUCAGAGCUCCGUUGUUAAACGUGCUUGGGCGAGAGUAGUCCUAGGAUUGGUGACCCCCUGGAAAGUCCUUGUGUUGCACACC